UCUAGCGUAAACAGGUGCUCAGGUAGGUCACCGAAAUUUCUCUCGAACAAUCACAUAAUAUGUGUAACCGUCGAACUUUUUAAAAUAAUAAGUGCAACGAUAAAAUUAGCCUAUGGAGUCGACACGCAUGACUUUCGAAAUUUUCGUUACUGGUACAGCCAACCGACAAGUUCAGACACGACAAGCGUGUAGAAGCUUCAGGGUGGAUUAAACCGGUUUGGCAAAUUCUGUAACGAACUGUUUGUAUGACUGAGAUUUCUCCCCACAUUUUGCAGGUGCAUAAAAGUAUACCAAAAUUAAAUACUCUACUUUCGUUUGCGUUCUCCUAACCUUGUAAUGCUUCCUUUACUUCCAAGAUUGACUUUUAAUUAGCUCCCGCAGGGAUUUCUUUGGAAGCAACCGUGGUUUUAAGUCCAGCUUGUUAUUCAGAUUUGUGAAGCCAUUCUUUUAUGAGCUGAACCGUUGGGUGUUAAUGCGAACCUAAAACAACAGGAUCACAAAUUUCUGGAAAUCAUUGAAAUCUCUGCCGUCCUGUAAAUUCAAUUCUAGCACAAUAAUUUUUUGAAACAAAACAUUGCCGUUGAUAACCUUUAUUUGGUUAAUGCGUCACGAAAACAGUUCAUACUUCAUUAUUUGUCAAGAAUGAAAUCAUUAUUUUCUAGACAGUGUAGAAUUUCCAUUUAGUUACUUUCCUCCUCAUUGUCUUCUGUUUGAAAAUACGAAACAAAAAUAAUUUUUUUGAAUAGAAAUUUUCAAUCCGUUAAGAUAAAUUACCUUCGUCAUCAUCUCCUUCUUCCUGACCCUCUUCAUCUUCACUUUCCUCUUCCUCCCCUUCUUCUUCUCCCUCCUCUUCGCCUUCUUCAUCUAAUUCAUCCUCUUCUUCUCCACUGGCUUCUUCAUCACUUUCCAUUUCUUCGUCUUCGUUUUCAACCUUCCUUUUCUUGCUUGGAGGUCCCUAAAUGAUGGCGAAAAAUUUUAAGAUGCAACUAAUGAAAUAUUCGAUGGAACCUGACUACCUCUUUGAUGUCGGUUUCAGGCAGUUUGGCUUUGAUUUCGCCUAAAUCGGGAAGUUCCUGUAACAAAUCCGAGUAUGCUGGGAAAACGUAUACUUUUUUCCCGGCAAUUUUUAAAUCGGUAGAACUUAAUAUUUCGGCUGUCCGCUCCGCGGUGUCGAAACCAAGAUAAGCAUGACUAAAUAAAAUAUCGUGGAAUUAAAAUUUGUCUAUAAAGAAGGGAUUAAUAUUUUACCAAAACUUGGAGGCAGGGAAUGUCUUUUUGUAAAUAACCACAGCAUUGGCAUCAGGAAACUGAGAGAUAAUAUCAAAACAAGAGACAUUUUUCGGAACAUCUCUUAGUACAACCCUUAAAUAAAAUAAGGCGAUUAGUACUUGAAAUAAAAUGGUAAAACUUGUGAACAAAUUAAGUAAUUGAGUAUAACUCACUUGUCUUGUGGUACUUUGUUAUAGGAUGAUCGAAGAUAACCCACAUCCGCAGACCGUAAGCUAUUUUCACCUAUCUUUGUCUUCAAUUUCUCAGCUGCACUCUCUGCUUCCUUACGAGUUGCAAAACGCAAAAUGCCG
RNAcentral lists this long non-coding RNA (1580 nucleotides) under Daphnia pulex (common water flea). RNAcentral's name for it is "uncharacterized LOC124203008". Lineage: Eukaryota; Metazoa; Arthropoda; Branchiopoda; Diplostraca; Daphniidae. The record is from RNAcentral.